This 300-nucleotide small RNA is filed under the name Histoplasma capsulatum var. duboisii H88. Its description in RNAcentral is "Histoplasma capsulatum H88 hypothetical RNA". The record is from RNAcentral. Lineage: Eukaryota; Fungi; Ascomycota; Eurotiomycetes; Onygenales; Ajellomycetaceae.
GCCAGGAGACACGGGAAAAUCGACAGAGACAAAGCGAACGGUCAGCUCUCAAAGAGAUCAUAGCUUUACCCAAGUUGAUAAUAGUGUGGGAACCUCAGAUGUUGUGAUCCUUACAUGUCGGACAUAAGAGCAAUUGUGGGGCAAGGCCUUCCAUCAAUGACUCGGUUAUGAAUACGCCGUACGCCGUAGAGAAAUGUAACUCGAGAGUAGCUGAACAUAAGGGUAGGCUAGUGAGGUGUAGGCUAUCAGACUCUGACUGCAUGUAGCCUGAGAAAAAUUAUGAAGAGCAACAACAACCCA